Molecule: ribosomal RNA, 429 nt
Filed under: Bacillota bacterium
Lineage: Bacteria; Bacillati; Bacillota
Description: Firmicutes bacterium partial 16S ribosomal RNA
Rfam family: Bacterial small subunit ribosomal RNA
Source: RNAcentral
UGGGGAAUUUUGGACAAUGGGCGAAAGCCUGAUCCAGCAAUGCCGCGUGUGUGAAGAAGGCCUUCGGGUUGUAAAGCACUUUUGUCCGGAAAGAAAUGGCUCUGGUUAAUACCUGGGGUCGAUGACGGUACCGGAAGAAUAAGGACCGGCUAACUACGUGCCAGCAGCCGCGGUAAUACGUAGGGUCCAAGCGUUAAUCGGAAUUACUGGGCGUAAAGCGUGCGCAGGCGGUUGUGCAAGACCGAUGUGAAAUCCCCGAGCUUAACUUGGGAAUUGCAUUGGUGACUGCACGGCUAGAGUGUGUCAGAGGGGGGUAGAAUUCCACGUGUAGCAGUGAAAUGCGUAGAGAUGUGGAGGAAUACCGAUGGCGAAGGCAGCCCCCUGGGAUAACACUGUCGCUCAUGCACGAAAGCGUGGGGAGCAAACAGG